UACGAAGGGGGCUAGCGUUGCUCGGAAUUACUGGGCGUAAAGGGCGCGUAGGCGGAAUGGCAAGUCGGUCGUGAAAUCCUUCGGCUCAACCGAAGAACGUCGAUCGAAACUGCCGUUCUUGAGGAUUGCAGAGGAGACUGGAAUUCCCGGUGUAGCGGUGAAAUGUGUAGAGAUCGGGAGGAACACCGGUGGCGAAGGCGGGUCUCCGGGCAAUUCCUGACGCUGAGGCGCGAAAGCGUGGGGAGCAAACGGG
RNAcentral lists this ribosomal RNA (253 nucleotides) under uncultured bacterium. RNAcentral's name for it is "partial 16S ribosomal RNA". It matches the Rfam family "Bacterial small subunit ribosomal RNA", at positions 524 to 776 of the family's 1533-position model. The record is from RNAcentral.